Long non-coding RNA from Papaver somniferum (opium poppy), 989 nucleotides. RefSeq lists it as uncharacterized. The transcript is spliced from 2 exons. The record is from RefSeq and is a predicted model, not a curated record. Lineage: Eukaryota; Viridiplantae; Streptophyta; Magnoliopsida; Ranunculales; Papaveraceae.
CAAUAUUUUCUCCAAACCUCUCUCCAAAAACAUCUUACGAAUGCUGAAGCUCUUUCAGCCUGAAUCUCUUCUGCUCAGAUCGAUCGUCUCCUAAAAAGGCCGAUCUGAGCAGAUCAUUAACAACCCAUGAUCUCUUGUUAUUUGGUUUCUCUAAUCUAAUCUUUUGUUACUCGUUUUACUUUUCGGCUUACGUUAAUUUUAGGUGCAGUCUCUACAAUUUUUAUGGUUCUGUUCAUUGGAUCUAAGGCUGUUGUGGUCUGUGAUCUAUGGAUGAAUAGAAAUCAGAACAUAUCUUCUUCCUUUGUUCUGAUCUAUGAACACCUUGAAGCAAUUUCUAAAUCUCCAGCAACUACAUCAUCUCUACCAAGUCCGAUCAGGAUCAAGUUCAUCAUCAACUUCACCAUCCAGAAAUUGUUACUCAAACUCCCAUGCCGAUUCAGUCCGACUCAGCCCGUUCCAGACACUUUGAUAUCGAUUCAGAAGACUCCAUAGACCUAUCUUCCUGUUACUUUGAAACUGUUACUUACUGCUACUCUGAUAAUCUUAGUUGCUAUAACUUUGAUUUACUUAUUCUUAGCAAAACUUGGUUGGAUCUAACCAAGAUCCCGUUGUUGCUAUGUGUAGUGAUGUAAAUGAGCCUUAUAUGGCUAGUUUAGCCACCGGAUGUGGUUAUUGCUUUUAAAAAAUCUUGGCUGGAUCUUAUUAAGAUCUCUCCGCUAUUAUGUGCAGUAAUGCAAACUAGACUUAUUAAGAUCUCUCCGCUAUUAUGUGAUGUGUUCUUUGAUGAACUCUGAAUUGGUAGAAACGUUUGAAGGGGUUGAUUUGUUGGUCAAAAAUUGGUGGAGAUAUCAUAGAUUCGAUGAAUGUAAUAUGAACUUGAAAAAUUCUAUAAGGUUUUCCGACUACCAAAAUCGGUUGAAUGAAUGAAUGUACUGUCGAGGAUUUUUCAUCUUUUUAUGAGAAAAAAAAAUCCUUUUUUCUAGCAGCUA